Hypoxylon fuscum is the source of this 95-nucleotide non-coding RNA. The record is from the annotation of a GenBank genome assembly. NCBI's taxonomy places the organism in Eukaryota, Fungi, Ascomycota, Sordariomycetes, Xylariales, Hypoxylaceae.
GGGCCAGUGGUCUAGUGGUAGGAUUCUCGCUUUGGGCUCUUUCAAAGAGAUUGCAAACAUGCGAGAGAUCCCGGGUUCAAUCCCCGGCUGACCCC